UUGAAAAGCAAAAGAUAAAAUUUGCGUUUCAAUAAAGUAUAAUAAUAAUGUAUUUAAAUAAUACAGUCUGAUCUAUUAUUUGGCAAAUCUUUUUAAUACAUGGACCGUUACAGCUGCAAAAAUUUUGAAAAACAGUUUUGUUCUUAUUGGAAUUGUGUAAUCCGGUCCUGUAUCGCAGUUGCCGCGAGGGUUGGGACCCUCCGUUUUAGUUCCGGGUAUAUAAACAGGCGCGGGGCGAGCGGUGGUCAGACUAGCUUGAGGUUCCAUCGGAGUCAGUUGUGUUCGGUUUCCGCGGAUUACAGUUAUCUGCAAAAUUAUUCUAAGUCCUUAAAAGUAAAGUUCAGUGAUCUUGGAGUUAAUUUAAAGUUCUUCUAUUUAAAUUAAACCCGUUAAUUCCGAAGAAUUUAUUUUCUAAUUGGCCGUUAAUUAAACUUAAUAUUCCUAAAGUCAAAAUUGAGUGGUUAAUUUGGAAGAUACGACUUUUUCUAUUUGUUUUAAAAUUUAUUCAAAGUUAUAUCAAGCUAAGUGAUAUACAUCAGUUACUACUUUUGCGCCGUAACUAAACUUUAAUAUCUUGAAAACUCCGCGAUGGCCGCGGACACCGACAUCGUUGUACCAGAAAUUUUUUUAUUUUCCAUUUUUGACGUGAGAGCCCGAGAUUAGUGGCGCGGGGGAAUAAUGAGUUUGGCGAUUCAACAUCAAGUUGCCAUCAGAUAAUGUAAGAUUAGAAUCGACGUUUGAAAGUUCGAGCGGAUUCCUGUUGGUUCCUGUGUUCAACAUUCCACAACAACAAGACUGGCCGAUUGCUGACUGCAGAAGAAAUGCUCCUGGUACGCAGUGCUGAAUAACCACCAUUUCACCAUAAGAACAAUUUCCAUGCGUGGGUCCAAUAUUCGAGGUAACCGUUGUCAUUAUUAUUAAUCCGCAUAAUAGACGAAGUAUAAUUUAAGUGUGCAUAACAUUUGCAGUUUCUAAUGAUAGAAUUCCCGAAAAUUCUUCAUUUUGUUUCCUACGUAAUUCUAGAUUUCAUAGAGUUUCUAUAAAAAUGUGAUUUGAUAUUUUGCUAAACACGCGAAUCGGCCUGUUUUGUUAAUUAAUUUUUGGAAAUAUUAUCAGAAUCUAUAACUAAAAAUUGUAAUUGUUCGUGAAGUGUAUUUCUGACUAUGAAGUCUAAUUUUAUUGUUGUUCAGUACACCACCUUUCACAAGUGUUUUAUGCUCAUGCAAAUUAUGCGUAUUUUUAUAAGGAUUAUAUUAUGCGGAUUUGUAAUCCAGACAAUCCGGUUCCCCUAUGUUGUUUAUAAAAUAGUAACUCAAAAAUAGAAUACUCAAAAAUAGACAAAAUUGUAUUGACAACUCAGGAUAAUUUUUAGACGUAAAUUCGAAUCAUUAUUGUACUAUUUGCACAUCUGUUCAAUAUGGGAACCAAUCUGAAUAUCUCUGUAACUUUUAAGCAGCUUCGCGGUUAUUUAUGCUUUGCGUAAUUUAGGCUAUGCGCUCUUUUUGUUUCGACGUCAGAUUGUUAGAACUAAACCAUGCAGAUUUUGUGGACCUGACAUGACGAAAAUGACUAAUGACUGUUUCGAACAAUUUUUUAGAAAACGGUAAUUACACAAAAUGAUUUUACUCAUUAAUAUUUCUGGUCACAUAAUAAUAUGUCGAGAUUUUCAUAGUUUGAAGGUAUAAUAGGUUCGAUUAAAAUCAAAAACACACAUAAGUAGCCGUCUUUUUAUUACUUCAGACGAAUUUAAAGUACCACGUUAAUGUCGUUUAAAGAUGUGAAUCUAUCAGUUUGGUAGGACUAUCAGCACUUGUCAUGCAGUCGUAUAUCUGCUCUAAAAUAUUUUUAUAUUUUUAGUCUGGUAAAUGCAAUACUACAAAAAAUAUAUUUACAGUUUCUUGCAUCUAACUAAAUCAUUAAUAAAUUGCAAUAUGGCAACACGUUUUCUAAUUAAUAUGCUCUGUUAGAGAUUUAUACGUAUACAAUUAUUUAUUACUAGCUGUUGCCCGCGACUUCGUCCGCGCAGAAUACUUUUCCAUAAUAACAUCAGCCUAUGUUACCUCUUUAGAACGACAGCCACCUGCCAGUAAAAGUCGCGUCAAAAUCAGUCCAAUCGUAUCAGAGAUUAGCCAGUAAAAAAAAUAUUUAAAAAUUGUUAUUUUGGUAUACCUGUAUAUCGCAUGUAGUAAAAAGCGGUUAUUUCAAUAUUGCAAACAUACUCUAAUUUUGACUAUAAAUAUCGUGUAGGGACUAAAUCAUCCUUCCAAUUCAUUCUUCAACAAAUAACGCCCUUCCAUUCCUUCUUUAAAAAAUAAGAUUCAUACAGGAAAAAUGCAAAUAUGUCAUAAAUAAGGCCAUAAAUUUCAAAAAUCCCCAUAAAUUAAAAGUUUCACUCCGUUUUAUACAACACUAACUUCCUGCCAGCGACUUUGUUCGCACAAAUAGAUGCUCUUAGAUAUAGAACAUAACAUCGUUCCUAACAAAAUUUAAAAUUAACAUAAUUAAAUUCCUUGAACGAAAUUGCAAUUUACAUUUAAAUAGUAAUUUUACUUAGGUCAACUGUAAGGUAAUUUUAUUUCUCUUGUUAACGGACUUAUAUAUAUAUUUCCUUCAUGAAUCAAAUGGUGCUACAUAGCUUUUGCCAAGUCAGGUUGGAUAACAACUACUUAAAGAUAAUUAUCUGAUGUCCGCUUUUAUACUUUUCGCCAUAUUAUUAUUUUGGGAUACACAAUCAUAAGGAUUAAAUUAUUGAGCAAAUAAAUUCUAUUCAUACGAAAAUGCGAAAGAUUCGUUUGUAACAAAAAUCAAAAAUAUUGGAUACUACAGUAAUUCAGGCUUUAUACAUUUUUAAUUGGGCAAUAUUUUCUUGUAUCUAAUCAUUCGACAUCCGCAAGUUCAUCCAUCCAUCUUACAGCUUCUGUGAUUAAACACACAUGACCUCUGAUGAGAGCAAAAACUGUAGGCCUAAUUGCGACCCGUCGGCCGGUCAAAAAUAAGACAAGAUCCGACUUCCAAUUUCAACUUUCUUCUAUAGAUUGUGUAAUUCACAUUUCAUAUUUAAACAAAACCCUUUUAUGGUGGUAUUUAAGUAUUAUAUUGUAUUAUAUAUAUUGUUUCGGACCUUUCAUGUUAUUUUUGCUUUUUCUGCUUCAAUAUCCGUUCAAAAUAUCAAUAGAAAUAACAAUGAUCAUUACAUCGAAAAUCAAUUUGGUUCGUUUCUUUUAAAACACAAAAAAUACAAAAAGUGGAUACAAAGUCUUAAAAUCCCCGACUUUAAUUAAUUCAGAAUCAGAUUUUGGCAAUUCUCUCGAAACUUAUUGUAAAAGUUUGUAUUUUGUUCAUAAUUACUAUCUAGUAGGUACUUUAAUUUAAUAGUUCUCACAUGGCAUCCGCUGUGCCUUAGCAAUCCAAUAUUAGCUUCCAUAAAAAUUCUUAUUUAUUUACUCUGCUAUUUUAUCGCUAUUAUGCUAUAGUAUGACUAACCGCCAUACUCCGAGUCAUCUAAUCUUACUUAACUUAGUCCUUGGAAAUGUUUUCGGAUCAAGAGAGAUCAGAGUUACUAAGGAAUAGUUUAAAUAAUUGUUAAAUAUCUCUGAGUACGGCGGUUACAUUACGGUUAGGUUAACAUAGUUCGUAACAAUAAAUUCAGACACUUUUUUAUAAAUUUUGGAAAAUCAAUCACCAGAAAGCAACGGGCCCAAGCAAUAACAGGUCUUAAAUCAACGCUUUGUACAAUGAUAAUAUUUUACUAACAUCAUUACAUGCAUCGUGGUACCAGCAGAGAAUAACCUAGAUAUACAUAGGAUAAGUGUGUGUUUAUUGAUAUUUAGUUUAAAUAGAUGGGCAGUUUCGAUUCAAAAACCUAUUCUCAUAAUUUGAACAUCAAAGAUACAUAUUGACCCACUAUACAAUAACAGAGAUACCAACAUUGUCUUCGUUAGUUGUUUUAGGAAAUUUUCUAAAGAUAUUUCUUUUCAUUUUCCAACAAAGGGUGGAAGAAACAGUCUAUAGUGAACAGAGAAUGUAACUAAAAUUCUUUACUCUUCAUUAGAGCUAUGAUCCGUCGAGUUGUCAUAUAUUUUUGAGGUAAAAGGAUAACGCCUUAAAUAUAAUGAUAAACUGACGAAUUAUUUCAAGAAUGAAGGGGUUCGAUUUUUAGGAUCUACAAUAGACUUUUUCUUGCACUCAUUUGCGCAUAAGUUGUUAGGAUAAGGUAAAUGAUGUAUAGUCGGGGUUGGGAGACAGUAUGAAACAGCACGCGGUAGUUCUAAGGGAUCGGACUUGAAAGAUACAUCCUUUUAUUUAUUAGCAUGUAAUGUAAGUUAUUUUCGGAACACAUGCAACAAUUAAUAUAUGUACUUUUUGUUAGAUAUAAGAUCACUAACGGCCAGUAAUAGUAAUCUAUCUAUCGGUUGGCUGGGUUACUGAGUAUACAAUUAAGACAAGAGACACGAGAGUAUACAAGUUCUGUCGCUAGUGCUUAAAUCUAUCGAUGGAUAGGUUAUUGUGAGUGGUCGUAAGCCAUUGCACCAUCAAAUGGCAGCCGCCCAUUCGUAAUUGCUACACUUCGAUAUUAUGUAUUCUAACAUCUGGUAGUGGAGUAACAACGUUUCGAUACAUUUUCUAUAUGGAUUACCAAGCUCGUCAAGCUAAACGUGGUAGCAGUCUGUAAAUAUUAGUUAUUACUAUACUGACAUAGUGUUCACGGCACUAAUAUAUUGUAUAUAAUGAGGUAAUUUAGAAUUUAAGUUGUAUUAUGUAUAGUGUACUUAGGAUAAGGUUCCGCCUCUAAACAGGGGCUGGAACGGGGUGGUUUUUAGAGAGACACUUAUUCCGCCUUCAAAAAAAAAUAACGAAAAUGUUGCUAUUGGUAACAUUUACAAUGAAUAGCUACGCCAGCUAUGUAUAAUACCCGCUAUCUACGCCAGCUACGUACAGUACCCGUUUAUGUUAUUUUUAUGACCGUUGUUAUGAUUGUGCGUUAAGUGUAACAUUAACUAAUUCAUAUAAGUAGUAUAUAAGAUAGUUAAGAUUUCUAUAACGUUUCUAUUUGAAUCAAUGCUAGACGUGUAAUAAUUGCGUUAGAUAUAAGUCUAUCAAGACAUUAUAACAUCAUGGGACGUUUUAAGAACAAAAAAUAUAAAAAUAAAAAAAAAAUAAAAAAUAAGAAACGACAAAAAAAUUAAAAAAUG
Molecule: long non-coding RNA, 5192 nt
Organism: Spodoptera litura
Lineage: Eukaryota; Metazoa; Arthropoda; Insecta; Lepidoptera; Noctuidae
Source: RefSeq, a predicted model, not a curated record